AAUAAAGGCUGGGGGUGCUUUGAUUCGUCGAAGCUGAGAGGAAUUUUCUUUCCAACCCUUUGAACUUGAUGUGGUUAGCACCAACGGAGGGAAGCAAAUUUUUAUUUGA
Molecule: non-coding RNA, 109 nt
Filed under: Anaerotignum neopropionicum
Lineage: Bacteria; Bacillati; Bacillota; Clostridia; Lachnospirales; Anaerotignaceae
Description: Clostridium neopropionicum TPP sequence
Rfam family: TPP riboswitch aptamer (THI element)
About the family: Vitamin B(1) in its active form thiamin pyrophosphate (TPP) is an essential coenzyme that is synthesised by coupling of pyrimidine and thiazole moieties in bacteria. The previously detected thiamin-regulatory element, thi box was extended, resulting in a new, highly conserved RNA secondary structure, the THI element, which is widely distributed in eubacteria and also occurs in some archaea.
Source: Rfam by way of RNAcentral